AGAGCGAACGCUGGCGGCAGGCCUAACACAUGCAAGUCGAGCGCCCCGCAAGGGGAGCGGCAGACGGGAGAGUAACACGUGGGAACGUACCCUUCAGUUCGGAACAACCAAGGGAAACUUUGGCUAAUACCGGAUACGUCCGUAAGGAGAAAGAUUUAUCGCUGAAGGAUCGGCCCGCGUCUGAUUAGCUAGUUGGUGGGGUAAUGGCCCACCAAGGCGACGAUCAGUAGCUGGUCUGAGAGGAUGAUCAGCCUCAUUGGGACUGAGACACGGCCCAAACUCCUACGGGAGGCAGCAGUGGGGAAUAUUGGACAAUGGGCGCAAGCCUGAUCCAGCCAUGCCGCGUGAGUGAUGAAGGCCCUAGGGUUGUAAAGCUCUUUUGUGCGGGAAGAUAAUGACGGUACGCAAGAAUAAGCCCCGGCUAACUUCGCGCCAGCAGCCGC
Molecule: ribosomal RNA, 443 nt
Filed under: uncultured bacterium
Lineage: Bacteria
Description: SSU rRNA
Rfam family: Bacterial small subunit ribosomal RNA
Source: RNAcentral